RNAcentral lists this ribosomal RNA (492 nucleotides) under uncultured bacterium. RNAcentral describes it as "partial 16S ribosomal RNA". It matches the Rfam family "Bacterial small subunit ribosomal RNA", at positions 29 to 507 of the family's 1533-position model. The record is from RNAcentral.
AGUGAACGCUGGCGGUAGGCCUAACACAUGCAAGUCGAACGGCAGCACAGUAAGAGCUUGCUCUUACGGGUGGCGAGUGGCGGACGGGUGAGGAAUACAUCGGAAUCUACUUUUUCGUGGGGGAUAACGUAGGGAAACUUACGCUAAUACCGCAUACGACCUACGGGUGAAAGCAGGGGAUCUUCGGACCUUGCGCGAUUGAAUGAGCCGAUGUCGGAUUAGCUAGUUGGCGGGGUAAAGGCCCACCAAGGCGACGAUCCGUAGCUGGUCUGAGAGGAUGAUCAGCCACACUGGAACUGAGAAAAGGUCCAGAAUCCUACGGGAGGCAGCAGUGGGGAAUAUUGGAAAAAGGGCGGAAGCCUGAUCCAGCCAUAACGCGUGGGUGAAGAAGGCCUUCGGGUUGUAAAGCCCUUUUGUUGGGAAAGAAAAGCGGCAGGUUAAUACCCCGCUGUUCUGACGGUACCCAAAGAAUAAGCACCGGCUAACUUCGUG